AUUUUUUUUGCCUUUCAAUUUGAAUAAGAUAUCAUUAUUAUUUAAUGAAUAAUCAUUUAUUGUGAAUAUAGAAUCUUUCUUAUUUUAAAUUAAAAAUUAAAGAAUGCACUAAUUUUUUAGGAUAUUUUAACUUUUUUAGUAGAUUAUUUUUCAAUUAGGAUCACUUAUUAAUGAUCGGAUACAAGUCAACAUACCAUAACAUACUUGCUAUAGCAAUGGGUUACCAGAACAAAGUGCAGAACUUUUCAGGAAUUUUCCAUAACCAUGACUAGUCAAUAUACCAAACCUACUAGCAUAAAUAUACAAGUCAACCAAUAAUUUAACAUUAAUUCAUCUCGGCAGAUAAGUGUUGAAGAUGACUCCACAUCACAACAUAAUAACUUCAAGUUUAUAUUUCUUCUCUCCAUCUGAUAUAGUCCAUAAAAUCCCUCUCUAUUUUAACACCCAAAAAGCCAAUUAACAAUUUAAUUAAGUGCAUAGGAUUUGUGUAUGAUUAAUUAGCUCUUAAAAUUAGAAUGUGAAAACCAAAGUAAUAACCAAAUCACACCCAUGAAAAGAAAAGGCAAUAACACUAAUAACUUACAUUCUUUUAAUCUGAACUAAAAAAAUAAGCCAGCCACUUAUCCCCAUUAGGGGUAAUCUUCCUAGCUGCAUAAAAUUAGAGAUUCUAUUAACAUCUCUAAUGUUAAAAUCAUCAUCUCGUUUCUUAAUCAAGCCUGAAACCACUCUUUGCCUUAUUUACUGUGAAAUUAACAAUUUGUGGUAAAGAAAUGCAUAGAAACUACCUCUGAGAUUUUGCAAUGAUAAUGUUUAACUUUGCUUUGCUUUAUUGUGGAAUAUAAAGCUCAAUUUUUGCCAUUGCUGCCUUGCCACAGCAUAUAUAAGACUUCUCUGGCUGAUGACUUAGAGAAAGCCCUUGAAUUAUUUACGAACCAAGGUUGAAUUGACCUACUAUAAUUUUUUUCGUCAAUUAUAUUUUUUUUAGUUUCCCAAAAAUUAAUAAUUAGGCU
RNAcentral lists this unclassified non-coding RNA (1010 nucleotides) under Hevea brasiliensis (rubber tree). The record is from RNAcentral. Lineage: Eukaryota; Viridiplantae; Streptophyta; Magnoliopsida; Malpighiales; Euphorbiaceae.